AUUUAACAUUGGAGGAGCUACA
RNAcentral lists this microRNA (22 nucleotides) under Cordylochernes scorpioides. The record is from RNAcentral. Lineage: Eukaryota; Metazoa; Arthropoda; Arachnida; Pseudoscorpiones; Chernetidae.